RNAcentral lists this ribosomal RNA (348 nucleotides) under Ramariopsis kunzei. RNAcentral describes it as "SSU rRNA". It matches the Rfam family "Eukaryotic small subunit ribosomal RNA", at positions 594 to 945 of the family's 1831-position model. Lineage: Eukaryota; Fungi; Basidiomycota; Agaricomycetes; Agaricales; Clavariaceae. The record is from RNAcentral.
AUAGCGUAUAUUUAAGUUGUUGCAGUUAAAAAGCUCGUAGUUGAACUUCAGAUUUGGUCGGGUGGUCCGCUUAACGGCGUGUUAUUGCUUGGCUGGGUCUUGUCUCUUGGUGAACCAUCGUGCCCUUUAUUGGUGUGCUUUGGUGAACCAGGACUUUUACCUUGAGAAAAUUAGAGUGUUCAAAGCAGGCCUAUGCCUGGAUACAUUAGCAUGGAAUAAUAGAAUAGGACGUGUGGUUCUAUUUUGUUGGUUUCUAGAAUCGCCGUAAUGAUUAAUAGGGAUAGUUGGGGGCAUUGGUAUUCAGUCGCUAGAGGUGAAAUUCUUGGAUUGACUGAAGACCGACUAUUG